This 65-nucleotide transfer RNA is filed under the name Niptus hololeucus. RNAcentral describes it as "tRNA-Asp". Lineage: Eukaryota; Metazoa; Arthropoda; Insecta; Coleoptera; Ptinidae. The record is from RNAcentral.
AAAAAUUUAGUUAAUACAUAACAUUAACCUGUCACGUUAAAAUAAUUAAAUCUUAAUAAUUUUUA